ACUGAUUGAUGGUGCUUGCACCUGAUUGACGAUGGAUCACCAGUGAGUGGCGGACGGGUGAGUAACACGUAGGUAACCUGCCCCGGAGCGGGGGAUAACAUUUGGAAACAGAUGCUAAUACCGCAUAACAACAAAAGCCACAUGGCUUUUGUUUGAAAGAUGGCUUUGGCUAUCACUCUGGGAUGGACCUGCGGUGCAUUAGCUAGUUGGUAAGGUAACGGCUUACCAAGGCGAUGAUGCAUAGCCGAGUUGAGAGACUGAUCGGCCACAAUGGAACUGAGACACGGUCCAUACUCCUACGGGAGGCAGCAGUAGGGAAUCUUCCACAAUGGGCGCAAGCCUGAUGGAGCAACACCGCGUGAGUGAAGAAGGGUUUCGGCUCGUAAAGCUCUGUUG
This 396-nucleotide ribosomal RNA is filed under the name Limosilactobacillus reuteri. Its description in RNAcentral is "bacterial SSU rRNA". It matches the Rfam family "Bacterial small subunit ribosomal RNA", at positions 65 to 438 of the family's 1533-position model. Lineage: Bacteria; Bacillati; Bacillota; Bacilli; Lactobacillales; Lactobacillaceae. The record is from RNAcentral.